AAGGGCUUAGCUUAAGUAAAGCGAUUGAUUUGCAUUUAGUAGAUGUAGGAUAAGGUCUUGCAGUCCUUA
This 69-nucleotide transfer RNA is filed under the name Brachyphylla cavernarum (Antillean fruit-eating bat). Its description in RNAcentral is "transfer RNA-Ala". It matches the Rfam family "tRNA". Rfam says of the family: Transfer RNA (tRNA) molecules are approximately 80 nucleotides in length. The record is from RNAcentral. Lineage: Eukaryota; Metazoa; Chordata; Mammalia; Chiroptera; Phyllostomidae.